This 386-nucleotide long non-coding RNA is filed under the name Homo sapiens (human). RNAcentral's name for it is "HSALNT0278027". Lineage: Eukaryota; Metazoa; Chordata; Mammalia; Primates; Hominidae. The record is from RNAcentral.
AACCAAACAAACCAAAUAGAUGUUCUUGGUUUUGUUUUUGAGACAGAGUCUCACUCACUCUGUAGCCCAGGCUGGAGUGCAGUGGCAUGACUUGGGCCCACUGCAAGCUCUGCCUCCCAGGUUCGAGUGAUUCUCAUGCCUCAGCCUCUUGAGUAGCUGGGACUAUAGGCGCACACCACCACGCCUGGCUAAUUUUUGUAUUUUGCAUUUUUUAUAGACACAUGGUUUCACCAUGUUGGCCAGGCUGGUCUCAAACUCCUGGCCUCAAGUGAUCCGCCUGCCUCGGCCUCCCAAAGUGCUGGGAUUAUGAGCAUGCCUGGCCCGAAUUCCAGCAGGGAACACUAAGAAAAGCACUCUGAGCACAAGACUAAACAAGCAUCUUUCAC